CCUUUGUCCAAUGAGGAAACAGCUGGAUUCCCCACCACCACCACCACACCCCAGCUCUCUCAUUCUUUCGAUGAACGUUUUUCUUUGUUCAAGGAAACUUUCCUUGGCUCUCGACCCAUCUCGCAGUGUCUGGAAUGUAAAGCUCGCGCACCCUUCUUCCUGCCUGAGUCUGCCUUUCUCACCAGCCACAAAGUCUUAAGUGACUUGGCUUCUCCUAGCAAGACCUAACACCUAUCCCGGCUCCUAAACAAUCGAUCUCCUCUUCCGGUCAGCACAGCCCACUCUGCGCACAUCCUAACAAGGCAGCGUGUGUCCGGUGCCCAGAGCAGACCCGAGGCUCUGUGAAUGUGGCCGUAAGGUUGACCUCAUCGUCAAGGGAAUGCGAUGGCAACGGCCCUUUCCGCAUCCACUGCUCAGGUGUAGCUCGUGGGAUCAUCUCCGUUCUUUGAUUUCACGUCUCCAUUCUCCACUUCUUCUGCCCCGAGCCAGAACUGUCUACACAAAAAUAUCAUGAAACUGAAUGCUGAUCUCAGAGAAUUCCCUGGCUGUUCGAAAGACACACCUGGAGAUCAAGUCCUGGCCAGAAACGUGACUGAAGGAAGCUUCCCAAGAUGGGCUCUGCAACAGCACCACAGUGUGAUCGUGUAGCAUCCCGUGAGUCUCACCGUGCAUCCUAAAUUGACCCUGUGAAGAGUCAUAAGAAGCGAGACUUGCUGAUCAGCGUAGAGUCUUCCAAGUUCAUCCUCCAAGUGGACGCUCACCCUCCCUCCUCCUCUCCCCAGGAGGAGCCUCCAAUUUAGCUCAAAUCACUACUUACACUCACUAGCCUUCCUCCUCCCUCAGUCUCCCAAGUGUUCCCGAGUGCUCCCAAGUGCUCCUGAGUGCUCCCAAGGGCUAGGUUUAUAGAUAUGGGUCAGUAGCAGAGUCUAUCCAUCUUAAAUUAAUGUCUAUUGUUUACCAGUCACUAGCAGCACAAUGUCAUUUAAAUUUUGCUUCCGGUAUUCUAGAGUCCUGUUCUCUGGGAUGGAGGUUCAGUCUGUUGCCCCCCUUGCCCUCUACCCAUGACAAAAGGCUUAAAGUCUAUGUCCUCCAAGAAGAUUUCCUGACAAUACAGUUACAGCUUCUGCUUAAGCAGGAGCUAAGAACUUUCUUACCUCCUGCUUAAACUUUCCUAACUUGACUGAAAAUUUUAAGGUAUAGUACACUCAUUAGUAACCAAAUCCAAA
Rattus norvegicus (Norway rat) is the source of this 1226-nucleotide non-coding RNA. Lineage: Eukaryota; Metazoa; Chordata; Mammalia; Rodentia; Muridae. The record is from RefSeq and is a predicted model, not a curated record.